This is a small nucleolar RNA of Microcebus murinus (gray mouse lemur), 129 nucleotides long. NCBI's taxonomy places the organism in Eukaryota, Metazoa, Chordata, Mammalia, Primates, Cheirogaleidae. The record is from Ensembl.
AGGUCAUUUCGAAGGGAGCAUGUGGGGCUGUGAAACGCAGAGCUCCUAACACCAUGACCAGAUAUUGAUGUUCUCUAUAAGGCACCAUAGUCACUCAAUAGUGCUGUGUUUUCCUGAGGAGGUAUAAGA